CGGUAACAGAUUGAUAGCUUGCUAUCAAUGCUGACGAGCGGCGGACGGGUGAGUAAUGCCUGGGAAUAUGCCCUGAUGUGGGGGAUAACUAUUGGAAACGAUAGCUAAUACCGCAUAAUCUCUUCGGAGCAAAGAGGGGGACCUUCGGGCCUCUCGCGUCAGGAUUAGCCCAGGUGGGAUUAGCUUGUUGGUGGGGUAAUGGCUCACCAAGGCAACGAUCCCUAGCUGGUCUGAGAGGAUGAUCAGCCACACUGGAACUGAGACACGGUCCAGACUCCUACGGGAGGCAGCAGUGGGGAAUAUUGCACAAUGGGGGAAACCCUGAUGCAGCCAUGCCGCGUGUAUGAAGAAGGCCUUCGGGUUGUAAAGUACUUUCAGUUGUGAGGAAGGCAGUAAAGUUAAUAGCUUUACUGUUUGACGUUAGCAACAGAAGAAGCACCGGCUAACUCCGUGCCAGCAGCCGCGGUAAUACGGAGGGUGCGAGCGUUAAUCGGAAUUACUGGGCGUAAAGCGCAUGCAGGUGGUCUGUUAAGCAAGAUGUGAAAGCCCGGGGCUCAACCUCGGAACAGCAUUUUGAACUGGCAGACUAGAGUACUGUAGAGGGGGGUAGAAUUUCAGGUGUAGCGGUGAAAUGCGUAGAGAUCUGAAGG
Molecule: ribosomal RNA, 650 nt
Filed under: Photobacterium angustum
Lineage: Bacteria; Pseudomonadati; Pseudomonadota; Gammaproteobacteria; Vibrionales; Vibrionaceae
Description: bacterial SSU rRNA
Rfam family: Bacterial small subunit ribosomal RNA
Source: RNAcentral